GAGAAACGGCUACCACAUCCAAGGAAGGCAGCAGGCGCGCAAAUUACCCAAUCCGGACACCGGGAGGUAGUGACAAGAAAUAGCAAUAGAGGGCCCGAUGGGUUUUCUAAUUGGAAUGAGAACAAGGUAAACAGCUUAUCGAGGAGCCAGCAGAGGGCAAGUCUGGUGCCAGCAGCCGCGGUAAUUCCAGCUCUGUAAGCGUAUACCAAAGUUGUUGCAGUUAAAACGCUCGUAGUCGGAACUUGGCGGGCGACGCAGGGCGUCUUUGCGGACGGAUCUGUAUCGGCCGCCUUUGUGGAGGGGGGCUUAGUGGUGCUUUAUUGCCUCGCUAAGUCGCUGCCACCGUUUACCGUGAAAAAAUUGGAGUGUUCAAAGCAGGCGUUUGCCUUGUACACAUUAGCAUGGAAUAAUAGAAUAGGACCUGGUUCUGUUUUGUUGGUUUGUGAGAAUUAGGUAAUGAUUAAGAGGGACGGUUGGGGGCAUUUGUAUUCUGCCGUCAGA
RNAcentral lists this ribosomal RNA (501 nucleotides) under Gelidium sp. RNAcentral's name for it is "SSU rRNA". It matches the Rfam family "Eukaryotic small subunit ribosomal RNA", at positions 398 to 909 of the family's 1831-position model. The record is from RNAcentral. Lineage: Eukaryota; Rhodophyta; Florideophyceae; Gelidiales; Gelidiaceae.